RNAcentral lists this ribosomal RNA (492 nucleotides) under uncultured bacterium. Its description in RNAcentral is "partial 16S ribosomal RNA". It matches the Rfam family "Bacterial small subunit ribosomal RNA", at positions 29 to 507 of the family's 1533-position model. The record is from RNAcentral.
AGUGAACGCUGGCGGUAGGCCUAACACAUGCAAGUCGAACGGCAGCACAGUAAGAGCUUGCUCUUACGGGUGGCGAGUGGCGGACGGGUGAGGAAUACAUCGGAAUCUACUUUUUCGUGGGGGAUAACGUAGGGAAACUUACGCUAAUACCGCAUACGACCUACGGGUGAAAGCAGGGGAUCAUCGGACCUUGCGCGAUUGAAUGAGCCGAUGUCGGAUUAGCUAGUUGGCGGGGUAAAGGCCCACCAAGGCGAUGAUCCGUAGCUGGUCUGAGAGGAUGAUCAGCCACACUGGAACUGAGACACGGUCCAGACUCCUACGGGAGGCAGCAGUGGGGAAUAUUGGACAAUGGGCGCAAGCCUGAUCCAGCCAUACCGCGUGGGUGAAGAAGGCCUUCGGGUUGUAAAGCCCUUUUGUUGGGAAAGAAAAGCAGCAGGUUAAUACCCCGCUGUUCUGACGGUACCCAAAGAAUAAGCACCGGCUAACUUCGUG